RNAcentral lists this non-coding RNA (184 nucleotides) under Metabacillus indicus. Lineage: Bacteria; Bacillati; Bacillota; Bacilli; Caryophanales; Bacillaceae. The record is from RNAcentral.
AAAAUAUGAUUCUUUUAAAGUGCCUGAAUACUCAGGAUAAUAGGGAAGCCGGUGGAAAUCCGGCGCAGCCCCCGCUACUGUAAGCGCAGAUUGAACUGAAUCGCCACUGACUCUAAUGUCGGGAAGGCUCAAGUAACAAGAUGAAGCGCAAAGCCAGGAGACCUGCUUUAAUUGAUUUUUGCUU